AAAACAGGUAAAGCCAUCAUUACAGCAGCUGCAGUAGGAGGUACUGUGGUUCUGACUCCUGCUGUUCUGACGGGAAUGGGCUUCACUGCAGCUGGAAUAGCAGGAGGCUCUAUAGCUGCUCAGCUGAUGUCAAUUUUUGGAUCUACCUGGUUGAUAUCUCUCUUGCAAUCUAUAGGUGCCACUGGAAUGGGAUGGUUUGGAAAUUCACUAUGGGGCGUGUUCGGAGGUUUUAUAGGAAAUCAGAUAUCAUUUAUCUGCAAUAUAACUGUUGUGUAUAAAGACACCGAACCAUAGCAUUGAUGUGAAAUUGAUGACCAUUGAUCUAUAGUCUCCAAAUUCUGUUCUGCCUUUUAAUAGAUGUUUUCAUAUCCUCCUUAGCUAGCCACUGCAAGUAGAUGAUGUAUUUAGACUAUAUGAAAGAUUUUUUUAAGCAUUGUUAAGCAUUUGUUAUUUUAUCUUUUAAACUUCAAUGAAAUAAAUUGUAUUGAUGAUCCUUCAAGGUUUUUAAUAAGACAACAGAGAUGUUUUACCAGGGUGUCCUAACAAUGAUGCAAAGUGGUCAAAUGUGAGAUGAAAUCUAAGGUUUGUCUUUUAGUCGCUCCAGUAAACAGAAGAGUUUUUUCUUGCUUUGGAUCAUUUUAAAGUAAACUGUAUUUGUUCUGAGCAUCUUAAAGGAAUAAAUAUUAGAUCUGGGUGAUUAAAGUUAUU
Long non-coding RNA from Cyprinodon variegatus (sheepshead minnow), 708 nucleotides. RefSeq lists it as uncharacterized. The record is from RefSeq and is a predicted model, not a curated record. The transcript is spliced from 3 exons. Lineage: Eukaryota; Metazoa; Chordata; Actinopteri; Cyprinodontiformes; Cyprinodontidae.